CCUACGGGGAGGCAGCAGUGAGGAAUAUUGCGCAAUGGGGGAACCCUGACGCAGCAACGCCGCGUGGGUGAAGAAGGCCUUCGGGUCGUAAAGCCCUUUCGGACGGGACGAACGCUCCGCGGUGACAACCCGCGGAGCCUGACGGUACCGUAAGAAGAAGCACCGGCUAACUCCGUGCCAGCAGCCGCGGUAAUACGGAGGGUGCAAGCGUUGUUCGGAAUUACUGGGCGUAAAGCGCGUGUAGGCGGCCUUGCAAGCCAGACGUGAAAGCCCUCGGCUUAACCGGGGAAGUGCGUCUGGAACUGCUCGGCUCGAGUACGGGAGAGGGAGGCGGAAUUCCCAGUGUAGAGGUGAAAUUCGUAGAUAUUGGGAGGAACACCGGUGGCGAAAGCGGCCUCCUGGACCGAUACUGACGCUGAGACGCGAAAGCGUGGGGAGCAAACAGGAUUAGAUACCCUGGUAGUCCACGCUGUAAACGAUGGGCACUAGGUGUGGGGGGUAUCCACUCCUCCCGUGCCGCAGCUAACGCAUUAAGUGCCCCGCCUGGGGAGUACGGCCGCAAGGUUAAAACUCAAAGGAAUUGACGG
Molecule: ribosomal RNA, 587 nt
Filed under: uncultured bacterium
Lineage: Bacteria
Description: bacterial SSU rRNA
Rfam family: Bacterial small subunit ribosomal RNA
Source: RNAcentral